This is a long non-coding RNA of Lynx canadensis (Canada lynx), 1260 nucleotides long. RefSeq lists it as uncharacterized. The record is from RefSeq and is a predicted model, not a curated record. NCBI's taxonomy places the organism in Eukaryota, Metazoa, Chordata, Mammalia, Carnivora, Felidae. The transcript has 3 exons.
GGACCUCUCGGCCGCGGUGUCAGUCCCUCCCGGAGUGGCUGUGACAGCAGCGGCAGCAACAGCUUCUACGCAGUGCGUGAUGUCUCAACUCUCCCCAGUACCCUCUAGGAUCAGGAACUAAAAUGAUCAAAUGUGAAGCUUUCAGUCUGGAAGUAAAAUGAAAAAGGAUAAAGCAUAAGAAAUUGAGUUGCCAGGAGCACCUUAAACAAGCAAAUCAAAUUUCAAAUAAAUUAAUCUUUACAAUAUCUAACAUUGUGCGUUCAAAAUGAAGAUACAUUCCUAAUCACACUCUCUGAGACCCUGCUGGAGGAACUGAGCUGUGGACCAGAGAUGCUGGAAAGAGAAGAAAAGAAAAGGACAAGAAGGAAAAACCAGAGCAAAAAUGAGAACAAGACAGAGAAGAAUGUGAAGAGCGUGUAAGAGGGCGCUGGGACAACUGGUGGGAGACCGAAAGAGAAAAAGAAUAAGGCUUAAUAUGGAGGGGUCAGUGACAAGAGAAAAGGCUUACAUCUGAAAGGAAAGAAAGAAAUGCAUUUAGUGGGAAAUAGAAAAGCACCUGGAUUAUUUGCCUCAGUUUCUGCUCACAGAGAUUGUUGUAAGUAGCUACCUGUCCCUUGGUGUAGGCAUUUGAUUUUAAAAAUCCCUGUCAUUCUCGCUGAAGUGCUAACAAAAAGUAAGGAACUUGGUGGAGGGCUGGGAAACUUUUAAUUGAGGGUAAUGUUCCUUGAAUAGAUACGGUCUAUCUGGAAUUAGAGUAAAGGUAUUACAUGUUGUCGUUCUUGCCUCUCAAGAUGGUAGAGGGGAAGACGUCUGGGGGGACACUUGAUGCCAUUACUGUGUGAAAAAUGCUUUGAAUUAUGGUAGGAUUUUAGAAAUCCUGGCUCAUUGUUUUCUAUUUGACCUCCAUAAUGGAGAUCAAACUUGGUGUUUUUUCCCUGUGGUUAGCCAGCAUCAAUGCCUUUGUCUUCCCCACCUCAGAUACCUCAAGGAAGACAUAGUUGUAGUGAUAUAUUUUAUUCUCACUCACUCCUACUUAAGACCUUGAGAGAUUGUGAGGUUCUGGUUCUGCCUAAUGGUGCAUUCAGGAGACCUGAAUUCUGGUUUCAACUGGCACUAAUUAGUUAUAACAUGUCUAUUGAUUCUUUCAUAAUCUAACAAAAAUGUGUCCAUCUCUAAUUAUGUUAGGUACUUGGAGUAAGAAUAUUUAGCCCCUGACAUCAAGGAUGUCACAGACUAAUGAGAAAUAAAAUCUGAAAACUG